GUGGGGAAUUUUGGACAAUGGGCGCAAGCCUGAUCCAGCAAUGCCGCGUGCAGGAAGAAGGCCUUCGGGUUGUAAACUGCUUUUGUACGGAACGAAAAGGCUCUGGUUAAUACCUGGGGCUCAUGACGGUACCGUAAGAAUAAGCACCGGCUAACUACGUGCCAGCAGCCGCGGUAAUACGUAGGGUGCAAGCGUUAAUCGGAAUUACUGGGCGUAAAGCGUGCGCAGGCGGCUUUGUAAGACAGACGUGAAAUCCCCGGGCUCAACCUGGGAAUGGCGUUUGUGACUGCAAAGCUGGAGUGCGGCAGAGGGGGAUGGAAUUCCGCGUGUAGCAGUGAAAUGCGUAGAUAUGCGGAGGAACACCGAUGGCGAAGGCAAUCCCCUGGGCCUGCACUGACGCUCAUGCACGAAAGCGUGGGGAGCAAACAGGAUUAGAAACCCCUGUAGUCC
This 450-nucleotide ribosomal RNA is filed under the name uncultured bacterium. Its description in RNAcentral is "partial 16S ribosomal RNA". It matches the Rfam family "Bacterial small subunit ribosomal RNA", at positions 354 to 796 of the family's 1533-position model. The record is from RNAcentral.